CAAAUCUAUUUUUUGUUGUUUACUGAAGAGAGCAAAUUAUUUCAAAUUAUUGAAGAUGAAUAUUGCCAUUCUUUUGAGGUACUUGGGUAAAUGAAGAUCCCAAACAGAAUAUGUGGAUUAUAAAAGUAAAGGGAUUGUUGUAGCUGAAUUAGUAAAUUAUGUGAGGUUGAUUUCGUCAAUUGCUGAUGAACUAAACAUUGACAAAGCUCAGAAAAAUAUUGAUCUAUGUCCUCCGAUGUUACAAUGAGGAAUGUCAGUGGAAUUUGGAAGCAUCUACUUACAAAAAAAAUAAAUAUUUUUAUGAUUCGUAAAUUUAACCCUGAGCAUACAUGCGCUCUGAGGGACAGGGUACUAUAGAAUAUUUUGGAGACAACUUCUUUUGUUUGUGAAUUCACGACUCCAAAACUAGUUAACCAUGAGAGAAAAUACACACUCGGGGACAUCAUCGAAGAAAUGAAAGUUGUAUAUGGUAUGGAUAUAAAUUAUUUGAAGGCAUGGAGUGCAAAGGAGCAUGCCAUAUCGUUGCUUAGAGGUGGACCUGCAAAUGGUUAUAGACAGAUGCCGAGAUACAUUUAUAUGUUAAAAAAUGUAUAUCCUAAUUCACACGUUGCAAUGCACAAAUCAUGGGAUAAUCGAUUCAUGUAUCUGUUUAUAGCGCUGCAUCCCAUGAUUAGGGGGUUCGAGUAUUACAGACCCGUUGUUGUUGUUGAUGGGGCACAUUUAAGUGAACCAUAUCAAGGCAAAUUCAUCUCAACAAGUACCCUUGAUGGUGCAGGCUUCUUCAACAUAUGUAUAUUCGGUUUAUGAAUCUGGGAGAAGAUACAUUAUUGAUUUAGAAAGAGGCACAUGCAACUAUGCGAGGUUUCAAAUAGAUCAAAUACCUUGUGCUCACGCUAUAGCUGUGUUGAAGUCUAAAUAUGUAAAAGAUUUUGGAGAAUACUGUUUAGAAUACCACAAGCCAAACACAUUGGUAAAGACAUAUGAAGUUCCAAUCGUUCCAAUGCCAGACAAGAAAGACUGGGAUACUCCCAGUAGUGUAGAUGAGGAAGAAGACCGAAGAAGGGGCGGAAGAAGAAAUCAAGUAAAAUACUUUUUUCAAGCACAAAUCGUUGUGGAUGAUGCAACCAAGAAGGGCACAAUAUGCGUUCAUGUAGCUUUUUUUUUCAAAGGAGAACUAAUUUAUUGUUUUGCUAUACUUUUGAAGAUUACUAACUGAUAUAUUUUCGUGUUUUAUUUUUUCGUUGAAAUAAAUUUUAC
Molecule: long non-coding RNA, 1257 nt
Organism: Capsicum annuum
Lineage: Eukaryota; Viridiplantae; Streptophyta; Magnoliopsida; Solanales; Solanaceae
Exons: 3
Source: RefSeq, a predicted model, not a curated record